AAGUCGUAACAAGGUUUCCGUAGGUGAACCUGCGGAAGGAUCAUUAACCUUUCAAAUCAGGGUGCGUCGCGGCCCCGACGGAGGACGGAAGCAAACUAUCCCUUUGGGGAGGGUUUUGCGGGAGUCUUCGGACCCCUUAACGCACGCACGACUGCCAUCCUUACUUUACGAGCACCUUCUGUUCUCCCUCGGCGGGGCAACCUGCCGUUGGAACCGAAUAAACUCUUUUUGCAUCUAGCAUUACCUGUUCUGAAACAAACAAUCGUUACAA
This 271-nucleotide unclassified non-coding RNA is filed under the name plant metagenome. Its description in RNAcentral is "partial contains small subunit ribosomal RNA and internal transcribed spacer 1". The stretch from base 1 to 46 matches the Rfam family "Eukaryotic small subunit ribosomal RNA", at positions 1786 to 1831 of the family's 1831-position model. The record is from RNAcentral.